UACGUAGGGUCCGAGCGUUGUCCGGAAUUAUUGGGCGUAAAGAGCUCGUAGGCGGUUUUGUCGCGUCUGCUGUGAAAUCCCGAGGCUCAACCUCGGGUCUGCAGUGGGUACGGGCAGACUGGAGUGCGGUAGGGGAGAAUGGAAUUCCUGGUGUAGCGGUGGAAUGCGCAGAUAUCAGGAGGAACACCGAUGGCGAAGGCAGUUCUCUGGGCCGUAACUGACGCUGAGGAGCGAAAGCGUGGGGAGCGAACAGG
This 254-nucleotide ribosomal RNA is filed under the name uncultured bacterium. Its description in RNAcentral is "partial 16S ribosomal RNA". It matches the Rfam family "Bacterial small subunit ribosomal RNA", at positions 524 to 776 of the family's 1533-position model. The record is from RNAcentral.